CACGAUGUGAUCCACCAGCCAGGAGGGACGCCAACAAGGCAUCCGAUAAGAUAAAUCUUAUAUAAAAUAUAGAUUUAUGAUAAUUAAGACUAAGCUAACAGAUGAGGAAUCCUAGUCAUUGGCCAAGCAUCAUUGAACCUAAUACAAGUUUCUGUGUAUUCAUUUGGGCCUAACUUGAGCAGGCAGCUGGCGUAAAGCACACACGUGGUGGUGGGGCUCAGGCAGUUUAUGGUGGAAAGAUUUAUCUUGAGCCUUCCUCAGACCAACAUCAACCCUGCUGGAGCAACUCCUUGAGCAGCAGCCAAACCUUUGGAGGCCUCAACCUGAGAGACUAGAAAUAAAGAGUGAAGUCAGGGAAACAGAAGAGGAGUGGAUCCAGGGAGAGGAGAUGAUGUUGAAGACGCACAUGGAGACUGGAGUUACAG
This 425-nucleotide long non-coding RNA is filed under the name Cricetulus griseus (Chinese hamster). RNAcentral's name for it is "lncRNA (ENSCGRG00015037098.1)". Lineage: Eukaryota; Metazoa; Chordata; Mammalia; Rodentia; Cricetidae. The record is from RNAcentral.